UAAUUCCACCAAUAACUUCAGC
This 22-nucleotide microRNA is filed under the name Arabidopsis lyrata. RNAcentral's name for it is "aly-miR856-5p". Its record names the gene aly-miR856-5p. Lineage: Eukaryota; Viridiplantae; Streptophyta; Magnoliopsida; Brassicales; Brassicaceae. The record is from miRBase by way of RNAcentral.